This 434-nucleotide ribosomal RNA is filed under the name uncultured bacterium. Its description in RNAcentral is "partial 16S ribosomal RNA". It matches the Rfam family "Bacterial small subunit ribosomal RNA", at positions 29 to 507 of the family's 1533-position model. The record is from RNAcentral.
AGCGAACGCUGGCGGCAGGCCUAACACAUGCAAGUCGAACGAACCUUUCGGGGUUAGUGGCGGACGGGUGAGUAACACGUGGGAACGUGCCUUUAGGUUCGGAAUAACUCAGGGAAACUUGUGCUAAUACCGAAUGUGCCCUUCGGGGGAAAGAUUUAUCGCCUUUAGAGCGGCCCGCGUCUGAUUAGCUAGUUGGUUGAGGUAAUGGCUCACCAAGGCGACGAUCAGGAGCUGGUCGGAGUGGAUGAUCAGCCACAUUGGGACUGAGACACGGCCCAAAAUCCUACGGGAGGCAGCAGUGGGGAAUCUUGCGCAAUGGGCGAAAGUCUGACGCAGCCAUGCCGCGUGAAUGAUGAAGGUCUUAGGAUUGUAAAAUUCUUUCACCGGGGACGAUAAUGACGGUACCCGGAGAAGAAGCCCCGGCUAACUUCGUG